Molecule: ribosomal RNA, 237 nt
Filed under: uncultured bacterium
Lineage: Bacteria
Description: partial 16S ribosomal RNA
Rfam family: Bacterial small subunit ribosomal RNA
Source: RNAcentral
AAGGCUUGACAUGCAUUUCUAAGCGCGUGAAAGCGCGUGACCCUUCGGGGGACUUGCACAGGUGCUGCAUGGCCGUCGUCAGCUCGUGUCGUGAGAUGUUGGGUUAAGUCCCGCAACGAGCGCAACCCCUGUGGACAGUUGCCAGCGGGUAAUGCCGGGGACUCUGUUCAGACUGCCCAGAUCAACUGGGAGGAAGGUGGGGACGACGUCAGGUCAGUAUGGCCCUUACGCCUUGGG